This 779-nucleotide ribosomal RNA is filed under the name Bacillus pumilus. RNAcentral's name for it is "bacterial SSU rRNA". It matches the Rfam family "Bacterial small subunit ribosomal RNA", at positions 60 to 822 of the family's 1533-position model. Lineage: Bacteria; Bacillati; Bacillota; Bacilli; Caryophanales; Bacillaceae. The record is from RNAcentral.
AGUCGAGCGGACAGAAGGGAGCUUGCUCCCUGAUGUUAGCGGCGGACGGGUGAGUAACACGCUGGGUAACCUGCCUGUAAGACUGGGAUAACUCCGGGAAACCGGAGCUAAUACCGGAUAGUUCCUUGAACCGCAUGGUUCAAGGAUGAAAGACGGUUUCGGCUGUCACUUACAGAUGGACCCGCGGCGCAUUAGCUAGUUGGUGGGGUAAUGGCUCACCAAGGCGACGAUGCNUAGCCGACCUGAGAGGGUGAUCGGCCACACUGGGACUGAGACACGGCCCAGACUCCUACGGGAGGCAGCAGUAGGGAAUCUUCCGCAAUGGACGAAAGUCUGACGGAGCAACGCCGCGUGAGUGAUGAAGGUUUUCGGAUCGUAAAGCUCUGUUGUUAGGGAAGAACAAGUGCGAGAGUAACUGCUCGCACCUUGACGGUACCUAACCAGAAAGCCACGGCUAACUACGUGCCAGCAGCCGCGGUAAUACGUAGGUGGCAAGCGUUGUCCGGAAUUAUUGGGCGUAAAGGGCUCGCAGGCGGUUUCUUAAGUCUGAUGUGAAAGCCCCCGGCUCAACCGGGGAGGGUCAUUGGAAACUGGGAAACUUGAGUGCAGAAGAGGAGAGUGGAAUUCCACGUGUAGCGGUGAAAUGCGUAAGAUGUGGAGGAACACCAGUGGCGAAGGCGACUCUCUGGUCUGUAACUGACGCUGAGGAGCGAAAGCGUGGGGAGCGAACAGGAUUAGAUACCCUGGUAGUCCACGCCGUAAACGAUGAGUGCUAAGUG